CUUCCCUGACCCCUUGAGGGUCCUAAAGGGUUGUUCGAGACUAGAACGUUGAUAGGCAGGGUGUGUAAGCGUUGUGAGGCGUUGAGCUAACCUGUACUAAUUGCCCGUGAGGCUUAACCAUACAACACCCAAAGGGUUUUG
Molecule: ribosomal RNA, 141 nt
Filed under: Vibrio ouci
Lineage: Bacteria; Pseudomonadati; Pseudomonadota; Gammaproteobacteria; Vibrionales; Vibrionaceae
Description: Vibrio sp. BEI176 partial 23S ribosomal RNA
Rfam family: Bacterial large subunit ribosomal RNA (bases 1-121)
Source: RNAcentral